AAUCCAGUGCAACAAGUGCUGAAGUAGGGGGAUAUAUAAGAUGUGGUGGAAAACAGAAAGGACCAAUAGAUGUUGCAGAAGGGGUGCAAGAGAAACCAGGGGAAGAGCACUACCACCUAAGGAAAUGAGAUGUGGGAUAUGGUGAAGAUAACACAUUUUUUUAUAGAGGUUGUUGAGAUAUCUAGGUGGUUGGUUUGGUUUGAAGCUCAGGGGAAGGUCUGAAAUGGACAGCUUUGGGAGUCGCUGGCAUGAAUGAGAAUCAAAGUCCUAGAGAGGUAAGCCUUCCCAGAGAGUAUGUAAUUAUCAGUUUUUCAGGAAUCAAAACCUUUGCCCCAUCCCACCUCCAGCUCAAUGACCAUUGCCCCUUCCUCAAAGGGACGAUCAUGGCUUCUCCCCCUUGCACUGGGCCUGCCGAGAGGGCCGCUCUGCUGUGGUUGAGAUGUUGAUCAUGCGGGGGGCACGGAUCAAUGUAAUGAACCGUGGGGAUGACACCCCCCUGCAUCUGGCAGCCAGUCAUGGACACCGUGAUAUUGUACAGAAGCUAUUGCAGUACAAGGCAGACAUCA
RNAcentral lists this small RNA (566 nucleotides) under Pan troglodytes (chimpanzee). Its description in RNAcentral is "processed transcript". The record is from RNAcentral. Lineage: Eukaryota; Metazoa; Chordata; Mammalia; Primates; Hominidae.